Molecule: ribosomal RNA, 281 nt
Filed under: uncultured Bacteroidota bacterium
Lineage: Bacteria; Pseudomonadati; Bacteroidota
Description: uncultured Bacteroidetes bacterium partial 16S ribosomal RNA
Rfam family: Bacterial small subunit ribosomal RNA
Source: RNAcentral
GAUGAACGCUAGCGGCAGGCCUAAUACAUGCAAGUCGUACGGGAUCCAGCUUUCGGGCUGGUGAGAGUGGCGCACGGGUGCGUAACACGUAUGCAACCUACCUUUAACUGGGGGAUAGCCUUUCGAAAGAGAGAUUAAUACCGCAUAAAACAGCAGCACUGCAUGGUGUAACUGUUAAAGCUUCGGUGGUUAAAGAUGGGCAUGCGUUGCAUUAGCUAGUUGGUAAGGUAACGGCUUACCAAGGCUACGAUGCAUAGGGGAUCUGAGAGGAUGAUCCCCCA